AUCGCUUCUCGGCCUUUUGGCUAAGAUCAAGUGUAGUAUCUGUUCUUAUCAGUUUAAUAUCUGAUACGUCCCCUAUCAGGGGACUAUAUAUUAAACGGAUUUUUGGCACAGGGAGUCGGAGAAGGAGCUUGCUCCGUCCGCUUCAAGCAUUGACCCGUUAUUGCAGUGCGUUCGGGAACGGUGCGCCUCUC
Molecule: small nuclear RNA, 191 nt
Organism: Conger conger (European conger)
Lineage: Eukaryota; Metazoa; Chordata; Actinopteri; Anguilliformes; Congridae
Product: U2 spliceosomal RNA
Exons: 1
Source: RefSeq, a predicted model, not a curated record